GCACCCGUAGCUCAGUUGGUAGAGCACCUGACUCUUAAUCAGGGUGUCCAGGGUUCGAACCCCUGCGGGUGUA
RNAcentral lists this transfer RNA (73 nucleotides) under Prevotella sp. RNAcentral's name for it is "tRNA-Lys". It matches the Rfam family "tRNA". Rfam says of the family: Transfer RNA (tRNA) molecules are approximately 80 nucleotides in length. Their secondary structure includes four short double-helical elements and three loops (D, anti-codon, and T loops). The record is from RNAcentral. Lineage: Bacteria; Pseudomonadati; Bacteroidota; Bacteroidia; Bacteroidales; Prevotellaceae. RNAcentral also lists the same sequence under 4 other names.